UGAGCAGGUCAUGUGGUCGCUGCCUCCGGCAGGUGUAAAUGCUGGGGGGAGAGGAAAGUCCGGGCUCCGCAGGGCAGGAGGGCUGUUAACGGCAGCCGGGGGAGACCCUAGGGAAAGUGCAACAGAAAGGAUACCGCCUGCGAUGAAUGACUGCGGGUAAGGGUGAAAAGGUGAGGUAAGGGCUCACCGCUUUUAUCGGUAACGAUGAGAGUUUGUAAACCCCCUCUGGAGAAAGGUUGAAUAGGAUUUGCAUUUUGGGCUGCCCGCCCAAUUCCAUAGAGAUAUGGAAGGCAAACGGGUACCAACCGCAGAAGUGGACGGGCAACCGUAGAGCUUAGAUGAAUGACCAUAUAAAACAGAAUCCGGCUUAUGACCUGCUCAUAAA
This 385-nucleotide RNase P RNA is filed under the name Candidatus Magnetomonas plexicatena. RNAcentral describes it as "Nitrospirales bacterium LBB_01 Bacterial RNase P class A". It matches the Rfam family "Bacterial RNase P class A". Rfam says of the family: Ribonuclease P (RNase P) is a ubiquitous endoribonuclease, found in archaea, bacteria and eukarya as well as chloroplasts and mitochondria. Its best characterised activity is the generation of mature 5'-ends of tRNAs by cleaving the 5'-leader elements of precursor-tRNAs. The record is from Rfam by way of RNAcentral. Lineage: Bacteria; Pseudomonadati; Nitrospirota; Nitrospiria.